Oncorhynchus keta (chum salmon) is the source of this 3311-nucleotide long non-coding RNA. RefSeq lists it as uncharacterized. The transcript is spliced from 6 exons. NCBI's taxonomy places the organism in Eukaryota, Metazoa, Chordata, Actinopteri, Salmoniformes, Salmonidae. The record is from RefSeq and is a predicted model, not a curated record.
AUCAUUAGUGGGUCUAUUCAUGUGUGACAAUAUUCAAGAUGGUCAUUAUGUAAAUCCACUGUGAUAAAGUCAUUUCUGUUUCCAGUUGGUUUGUUUGGAGAGGCUUUUGCUGGUUUGAGAUCCAGGCAGUUUAUUGGCAGUGGCCUCUUUUAAAGGAAAAUUAUUGUGUUUUUCUAAAAUAACUAGUGUGUAUGUAACUGCAGUGGUUCACUUGAUCUUUCCUUCCUUCCAUCAGCAGUAUUGUCUGUCACAGUUUAUUGGUCUUCUUGUGAACUUGGGUCAAAUUAAUCUCUGUGAAGCGCUGUUGUACUUCAGAAAGUGAUCUAACAGGUCUAAGAGGUGAUUUUAGAGUCCUCUUUGGGUCUUCUUGUGAUCAUGGGUCAGCUGAAUGUCUGUGAAGAGCUGUUGUACUUCAGAAAGUGAUCUAACAGGUCUAAGAGGUGAUUUUAGAGUCCUCUUUGGGUCUUCUUGUGAUCAUGGGUCAGCUGAAUGUCUGUGAAGAGCUGUUGUACUUCAGAAAGUGAUCUAACAGGUCUAAGAGGUGAUUUUAGAGUCCUCUUUGGGUCUUCUUGUGAUCAUGGGUCAGCUGAAUGUCUGUGAAGAGCUGUUGUACUUCAGAAAGUGAUCUAACAGGUCUAAGAGGUGAUUUUAGAGUCCUCUUUGGGUCUUCUUGUGAUCAUGGGUCAGCUGAAUGUCUGUGAAGCGCUGUUGUACUUCAGAAAGUGAUCUAACAGGUCUAAGAGGUGAUUUUAGAGUCCUCUUUGGGUCUUCUUGUGAUCAUGGGUCAGCUGAAUGUCUGUGAAGAGCUGUUGUACUUCAGAAAGUGAUCUAACAGGUCUAAGAGGUGAUUUUAGAGUCCUCUUUGGGUCUUCUUGUGAUCAUGGGUCAAAUUAAUCUCUGUGAAGCGCUGUUGUACUUCAGAAAGCGAUCUAGUGGAAGUAACAGAUCUUAAGAGGUGAUUUUAGAGUCCUCUUGUUAAUAACCAUUAUCUGUGUCAAACAAGCAAAACCUCGAAGCUUUAAUCAACUUGGUUUGUUCUUCACAUCUGAUUCUGUACCGUUUCCCUUUAAUGGGACCAGAACCGGUCGAACGUUUAGAAGUGACAGUUGUAAUACAUUUUUGUAUAUUUCUGGUGUUGUCUGGGCCGUUGCAUUACUCAGAACUGUUGACCCAACUCAAUAGGUGGCCUGUCACCAACCCGUGUCUUAUGUUCUAGUUGAGGUGUUCUCCUCAUUAAACAGUAACUGGUGUAUAUUAUGUUCUAGUUGAGGUGUUCUCCUCAUUAAACAGUAACUGGUGUAUAUUAUGUUCUAGUUGAGGUGUUCUCCUCAUUAAACAGUAACUGGUGUAUAUUAUGUUCUGGUUGAGGUGUUCUCCUCAUUAAACAGUAACUGGUGUAUAUUAUGUUCUAGUUGAGGUGUUCUCCUCAUUAAACAGUAACUGGUGUAUAUUAUGUUCUAGUUGAGGUGUUCUCCUCAUUAAACAGUAACUGGUGUAUAUUAUGUUCUGGUUGAGGUGUUCUCCUCAUUAAACAGUAACUGGUGUAUAUUAUGUUCUAGUUGAGGUGUUCUCCUCAUUAAACAGUAACUGGUGUAUAUUAUGUUCUAGUUGAGGUGUUCUCCUCAUUAAACAGUAACUGGUGUAUAUUAUGUUCUAGUUGAGGUGUUCUCCUCAUUAAACAGUAACUGGUGUAUAUUAUGUUCUGGUUGAGGUGUUCUCCUCAUUAAACAGUAACUGGUGUAUAUUAUGUUCUGGUUGAGGUGUUCUCCUCAUUACUCAGAACUGGUGUAUAUUAUGUUCUGGUUGAGGUGUUCUCCUCAUUAAACAGUAACUGGUGUAUAUUAUGUUCUAGUUGAGGUGUUCUCCUCAUUAAACAGUAACUGGUGUAUAUUAUGUUCUAGUUGAGGUGUUCUCCUCAUUAAACAGUAACUGGUGUAUAUUAUGUUCUAGUUGAGGUGUUCUCCUCAUUAAACAGUAACUGGUGUAUAUUAUGUUCUAGUUGAGGUGUUCUCCUCAUUAAACAGUAACUGGUGUAUAUUAUGUUCUAGUUGAGGUGUUCUCCUCAUUAAACAGUAACUGGUGUAUAUUAUGUUCUAGUUGAGGUGUUCUCCUCAUUAAACAGUAACUGGUGUAUAUUAUGUUCUAGUUGAGGUGUUCUCCUCAUUAAACAGUAACUGGUGUAUAUUAUGUUCUAGUUGAGGUGUUCUCCUCAUUAAACAGUAACUGGUGUAUAUUAUGUUCUAGUUGAGGUGUUCUCCUCAUUAAACAGUAACUGGUGUAUAUUAUGUUCUGGUUGAGGUGUUCUCCUCAUUAAACAGUAACUGGUGUAUAUUAUGUUCUGGUUGAGGUGUUCUCCUCAUUAAACAGUAACUGGUGUAUAUUAUGUUCUAGUUGAGGUGUUCUCCUCAUUAAACAGUAACUGGUGUAUAUUAUGUUCUGGUUGAGGUGUUCUCCUCAUUAAACAGUAACUGGUGUAUAUUAUGUUCUAGUUGAGGUGUUCUCCUCAUUAAACAGUAACUGGUGUAUAUUAUGUUCUAGUUGAGGUGUUCUCCUCAUUAAACAGUAACUGGUGUAUAUUAUGUUCUGGUUGAGGUGUUCUCCUCAUUAAACAGUAACUGGUGUAUAUUAUGUUCUAGUUGAGGUGUUCUCCUCAUUAAACAGUAACUGGUGUAUAUUAUGUUCUAGUUGAGGUGUUCUCCUCAUUAAACAGUAACUGGUGUAUAUUAUGUUCUAGUUGAGGUGUUCUCCUCAUUAAACAGUAACUGGUGUAUAUUAUGUUCUGGUUGAGGUGUUCUCCUCAUUAAACAGUAACUGGUGUAUAUUAUGUUCUAGUUGAGGUGUUCUCCUCAUUAAACAGUAACUGGUGUAUAUUAUGUUCUAGUUGAGGUGUUCUCCUCAUUAAACAGUAACUGGUGUAUAUUAUGUUCUAGUUGAGGUGUUCUCCUCAUUAAACAGUAACUGGUGUAUAUUAUGUUCUGGUUGAGGUGUUCUCCUCAUUAAACAGUAACUGGUGUAUAUUAUGUUCUAGUUGAGGUGUUCUCCUCAUUAAACAGUAACUGGUGUAUAUUAUGUUCUAGUUGAGGUGUUCUCCUCAUUAAACAGUAAUUGGGGUAGUCUGGUAGCUGUACCAUUUUAGCCCUAGUCGGCAGGUGUUACUUCAAUAUACUACAGUGUUGUCUGCAAAAACACUACAGUAAAUACUAGUCAUGUCUGCAAAAACACAUGAGUUAAGACUACAGUAAUGCCCACAAAAACACGACAGUGAAUACUACAAUAUACUACAGUAAUGCCCGCAAAAACACGACAGUGAA